UGCCAGGCGAUAACUCGUGUGCUUUUGGACAAUUUUAGGCAUUUGAAAAUAAAUCUUAUGCUAGUGUAGCCAAUGCAAUCCUAAACUUGCUUCUUAACCAUGUAUCUUCUACAGGUAGCAUUCGGCAGAAAAUAUGUUAUACGUCUCAUUUUUUCCUUUUGUUUAUGUUGCAAAGGUGUACGUAAAUUUGACGCUGUUUGUAAAGGCCAUGCCAUUUCUACUUCUAGCCCUUUUAGUGCAAAAAGUUUUGAAAAAUUCUAGCUCCCCACAGGACUUUUUGAAUUUCUUUUCGGGACACUUUUGGUACAGUGGGGAAAAACUUUCCGUAAUGACUGGACGUAAUGAGCUGACAUGUCAGACUGACAUCUUUUUUUAGGAAGCUAAAGGCAUGGUCCUCUGUUCAUUAUACUGAAAAGAGCUAAUGGAAUUUUCCCCGAUACAAUGAACCUGUGAAUGCCCUACAAAGUGUCUUCUCAAUAGGGGUGGCACAGGGCCCGAAUUUUUUGUCUCCGGGUCGCUAAAACCCCCCAAACGCACCUAUUUCAUGAUGUUGUAUCGGUUAUAAAUCGGACAGAAACCUCUUAUAUUUUAGUAUUAACAGUUGCAGCAUGUUCUCACCUUAAUAUCUGUGAAAGAUUUAUUGAAAUAUCUCAGAAAAUAAGCGAGUAAUCGCCCAUCGGGCGACGCGAGUUUUGCCGACGGCGGCGGGAUGCCCUCCACCCGGGCCCACAUUUCAAAAUGGCCGGUCUUGCUUGAUUCUGAUUUCUGGGCCGUGUGCAAAAGAUCAAGAGGAAAGCUAGCCACCAAUUUGUAGCCGACAAUACCAGCUACAAAAUGACACCAAAAGCUUGCCUGAGAGACUUUCGAGUGAGAAAAUAUUCAGAAGUAAAGUUUUAAAAGUGGAUUAUCUCGGGAAAGUGCCCCUUAAAAAUUUUUUAGCUUUAUAUGAAUUUGAAAAAUUCAGAAGUUUGCCGUUAUUUUGGUACCAGAUUCGCAUAUAUUGGAGCAAAUACAACGCCAGAAAUGUGGGGCUACUUUCACCAUCACCCAUGCUUUGGCAGGGGAAGCCAACAAACAUGGCCGCCGCUCAAGCUGGCAGAUUUUGCACCUGGGAGCGACCCUCACGGUCAGCCAUCUUAUAUAGUAAGAGUGACCGUGUUUGAAAACCUCGUGAGGAUCUCUUGAGGAGUAUCUGGAUUUAAACUCUUUUUCCACACAAGAUUGAAAACCUCUUGGAGAUCACUUGAUACACCAGAUGAUUAUAAAGCUUUUCGUGAGAACGCAUUAGUUCUGGUGUCAAAACUUGAAAACAUUUCAGGGUUUGAGGAUCUGUGAGGAUCUGUUACUCAGCCCGUACUACUUCGGCUCUCUAUGGGGUUUUCGCGUCAUCUUAUAUAUAUCGCAAUAGAGGCCCAGAAUUUCACUUCUGGGUCAAGUAUUUCUCUUCGCAGUUUGACGGAACAGCUUUCAAAAGAUGUUACAGACAUAACGCUUAAUAAAUACGACAUAACAAUUUGGGUAAUUUUUGAGAUAUAACUUUGCACAUGUCUCUGUAUAAACCGGCUUUGCCUAUCUGAUUUGGGGAUACCACAUCACGUAUGUAAGUUACAAUAUUUUUACAGUCAAGGCGUCAUAGAGAGAGAAUAGAUUCCCGAGUAUGAUAGCACACAGUAACGUUACAUGUACUCGAUUCCCACACUAUACGUAAAAAGGAUACAAGACAAUCAUACACCAACACGCACUGUGUACUUGGCUCAAUAAAAGAUACUAAAUUCAGUCCACAGAAAAAAAGUCUCCAGAAUCGUACACAAACAGUAAUACACACUCACUUUCUUCAAUCAGUAGCCUUCUACUGGUUCAAGGCCUGUGUCUGUAGAAUGAUUUUUAUUGCCGGACGGCCAGUUAGUUUGUUCGGCGGCCCAUAAGAGAGUCUGCCCGCCGAUCAAAAAUUAGCGCUCCGAGGAGUAAAAGCCCGAAAGAGCCGGCAAAACUCACUCAGGCCAAGGACGUCCUUGCUCAGGCUAUUGGAUUGGCGGGCAGACUGCAUUGAGUCACCGAAGAAACAGCCUGGCGACCCCUGGGUAAUAACAUUAAGCUUUCAUCUUUUACUGCUAUUUGUGGCAAAAAAAGUACACUUUAUGUUGCUAAAUUCCCUUCUACCACUGCCCUGAACUGCUCUGGAAACACGUAAUGCAAAUGUGACCCGGAAACAGAUUGGCCACGUUCAAUCACCGUGUGUCUCGAAACCCCCAUAUAGAACUAUGUCUUCUCGUGAGGGUCGCUCCCAUAUACACGAUCUCACGCUGGCAAGCUAGGUCGCUCUCAUUUAGACGCGAUUGCGACGGCAUCGGACGAAAGUGCGACCACAACUACAUCCCAAAGGCCAGGGAACACUGCAACUUCUGCAAGCAACUCAGUAGAGGAAGGCUGUCCAAAGAAAAACUGGAAUAAUACUAGCUAAAAUGCUGCUGAGAGGAUGGUGUGAGGACCAGGAAAUAACCAUCACCUGUAUGGUGGCAGAGAUAGAGCAAGGCCCUUCCAUGGAAGAGGGCGUAGUGACCAAAAAAUAAUGCAAUACUUCUGAACCAAAUUAUAUUUUUGAGGCCAGAUUUUUAAUUGGCAUGUGCCAAAGCCCUUGUAUAAGUUAUGUAUAGCAAGUUUUUUUUUUAAGGACAGAGAAAAUAUCGCAUUUUGGCAUAUUUGAACAGCGGACUCGGAUUUUAUUGCCUUGAGUAAUCAAUUAUUCAUAAUUUUGGAAGCAGAUAUGUAACUUUCGUUGUCAUAUUUCAAAUCAGCAUGCCAGAAAACCCCUAUACACCAAGUUUCUUUCUUCUAUCUUGUAGGAUUAUGGAGAUAUUUCAAUAUUGCAUAUUUAAUUAGCUGACUUAGUCUCUGACGGCCAAGGCGCUCUGAGCCCAUGUACGCUUUUUUACCAAUAUUGGCAUAUUUUGUGACAAGAAAAUCUAAGGAAAUAAUGAAGGAACAUUCUAGAAACUUUAUGGACUUGUUAGUAUGGUUGUAAAUAAAGACAAAACAGCUUA
Branchiostoma floridae (Florida lancelet) is the source of this 3041-nucleotide long non-coding RNA. RefSeq lists it as uncharacterized. The record is from RefSeq and is a predicted model, not a curated record. The transcript is spliced from 2 exons. Lineage: Eukaryota; Metazoa; Chordata; Leptocardii; Amphioxiformes; Branchiostomatidae.